Molecule: ribosomal RNA, 292 nt
Filed under: uncultured bacterium
Lineage: Bacteria
Description: partial 16S ribosomal RNA
Rfam family: Bacterial small subunit ribosomal RNA
Source: RNAcentral
GUGCCAGCAGCCGCGGUAAUACGUAGGUGGCAAGCGUUGUCCGGAUUUAUUGGGUUUAAAGGGUGCGUAGGCGGCCUAUUAAGUCAGUGCUGAAAUAUCCCGGCUUAACCGGGAGGGUGGCAUUGAUACUGAUGGGCUUGAGUGGAGUCGAGGUAGGCGGAAUUGACGGUGUAGCGGUGAAAUGCUUAGAUAUCGUCAAGAACACCGAUAGUGUAGACAGCUUACUAGACUUCAACUGACGCUGAGGCACGAAAGUGUGGGGAUCAAACAGGAUUAGAUACCCUGGUAGUCC